Papilio polytes (common Mormon) is the source of this 5798-nucleotide long non-coding RNA. RefSeq lists it as uncharacterized. Lineage: Eukaryota; Metazoa; Arthropoda; Insecta; Lepidoptera; Papilionidae. The record is from RefSeq and is a predicted model, not a curated record. The transcript has 2 exons.
AUAAACAAAAAAAAACUGCUAUUACACUACGACGUCAUAAAAAGCUGAAAUUCUAAGUAAUCCGAUAUAGUGAAACAAGGUAAACCCACAUUUACUUACAAAUGUAACAAGCAACACUUACAAAGUAUCCUUCAGAGUUGAUGGAAACUAACGAGUGAUCGCUAUAACUUAGUAGAAAGUAACAAAGAUAAUGAACAGUUACCUGCCAGCAUGUCAUUUAUAUCUACUUUAAAAUCCUUUGAUGGGGAGAAGUAGACAGUUUUCCAAGAACAGUUGGAUUGUUCCUUCAUUGUUAAUGAAGUGUCAUAAAAAAGAUUCAACUAUUAAUCAGAAAACACCCACAGUGUAUUAAGUUUUAUAUUAUUUGUGUGUACCUAAAAAACACAUAAAUUGUAAUACAUAAAACGAAAUGCUUCAAAUUGCACAGAGUUCGAGAGAGUACUAACAGCAUCCUAAGAGAGCUAAGUGACAAGCUAGACUGCCCGAUCAUGGGACAUUGGUGGUGCGCACAUAUGCCCAUAGCCGGUAUCAGGUGCCUAAGAUCACUUUAGUUUAGUUUCUUCUUUUCUUUCUGUGUGUAAUGGAUUAUGAAAUUCGAAUGAAAGUCGCCGCUCCUUCAUUAGUAUAAAUGUGACAUUUACAAGAUAACAUAUUUAGUUAAUAAACACACCAACUUCCGUCCAAACCACUUAGACCUUUACUAAUAUAACCGUCUCCAUUAAGAGACUAAAUUGAUUAUUAAAUACUCCACAUAAGAGCAUCAUUUUCCCAACCUAACCCAAAACCCAACAAAACUCACCACUCAGCCAAACAUUGGAUUUUUGAAGUAAAAUUGUAUUUUGCAUGUAAUGUUUAUAUAAAUAAAAUAUAUAUUUCAAAACGACAACGAAGGUGAGAGGUUGUUUCAAGCAGCCUUGGCUUACAAACUCACCAUAACAAAUACUAAUUUUCAAAACCGAGAAUCACACAUAGUAACUUUUCAUAGUAGUAGAUUCAAAACAUUUCUAUUUUAGUCGCUGCCUGGUAUACUGCAUUUAUUAAUUUUGUUUGUGUAUUUAUGGCUAAAAUUGAAAUGGGCGGGACACUUGAUGCGAAUAGAGGAUGGCAGAUGGACAAAGAACAUUGUGGACCGGGCCAUGACCUGGAAAAAGAACAAGAGGAAGACACAAAGCCCGGUGACAAGAUGACAUAAUAAAAAUAGCAGGGAAAGGAUGGACUAGGGCAGCUACAAACAGGGAAAAAUGGAAACAAAUGGAGGAGGCCUAUACCCGGCAGGAGUCAUAACAAUAAUUUACUUUUUUAUGCUAUUUAUAUAACACACAUAUAAACAAUUGUAAUAUGACAAAUAAAGGCUUAUUAUUAUUAUUACACUCAAAACCCAGAUUUACUAUCUGUUAGUCCGAAAAUCAAAUGUCAUUAAAUUAACAAUGCCAAAGUUAUACCCAGUGAGGUUGUAGCCCCACAGCAUAAGCACAUAGUAUAAGACCUUAUAAUAAAAAUUUCCCUCACAUAAAACAAAAAUAUGUGUGGUUUCAAGUGUACUAAAUGAUAGAAAAUUAUCAAACAAUGCUCUUUUGCAUAGGGAAUUGACACAAAACCGUUUGUGCAAGACAAUAGUUUUAGUAAAUAAAUUGUGUAGUAAAUAGCUUAUCCAAUAUACAGUUCAUUCGAAAAUAAAUAAACAGCAAUAGUAGUGAGGUAGAGCGGCUUAAGACACCCACAUGUUAUUACGCCCCCGCAGCACAUUUAAACAGGCUUGGGUGAGAUUCGAUUGGGGAAUAUUUCAUUCUAUCAGAAGUGUGGAACCAGAAGCCCUACCUCCUACAGUCUAAUCACCUAAAGCAAGUCUUUUAUUUACACACCAUCAGAGAUAGGUGUGCAACCUGCACACUUUUCAAAUACAAAACUAAAGUAAUUAUGAGACUGGCAUGUUUAAACGAACAUGUCCCAAUUAAAAAUAAAGAAAAAAAUCUGAAUUACAAAUGCAAGCGGAACCAGCACUGCCUUUAAUCAUAAUUGUCUGCAGAGCCUUUUCCUGUCAUCUUUUUUUAAAUGUGAUUUUUUUUAUUUUAAACCAAGGAGUCAUUGAUGAUUUUAUGGAAUAUUUUAUUUAACAGAAUUCAGAAGACAUGCUAGGCCAAGAUAUAAGACUGGAUCAAUAAGAUUGCCUUACUGUCCCUAUAAGCACCGCUACACCAAAAUAUAUCUUCCAUAUCUGAAGUCAAAUUACAGAAGUAAAUCUAUAACUUAAUAUAACAAAUAGUUUCAAUGUUCAAAUCAAUAUUUUAGUACAUACUAAGAUAAAUACUAGCCAAAUAAAAUCUUACUUUGUAAUUCAAUAACAUAAAAAAACAUGGCUAUUGAAUUUUCAAUUACCACAGAAGACAAGCACAUGUGCUCAGUGGUUUUAAAUAAAUAAGUAAAUAAAUGGCGGCAAUGGAGGCAAAAUAAUGGUGUCAAUUGACACAACCACCUGUAUUCACUAAAAUAGUGAGGUGAUUGCUUAUAGAUGUCUGCAUUUGCAGCAGCACAGCCUACCUUUACACAUUUCACUUUGACAAACAGAACUUUAUUAAUUUCCCCAAAGGUCCAGGGGACUGGUGUCCAUACUUGGGUACCCUGCAUGAUGAAACACACAGAUAUACCCCCUUCCUAUUAGUCUUCAAACUAUAAAAUCACUCUUGCAUUUGGAAUAGAAUGAACAGAAGAACAAACUUUGACUAUGUUUUUUAAAAACAUAAUGCAUAUAAUUUAAUAACAAUACAAUAAAAUAUUGCAUGUUUUCUUUAUUAAUACCAAAAUGGUGAGCAAUCAACAACAUUUAGAGAAAAAAAUAAUGUUAGACGACUACAAAACAUAAGCCAAAGUCAAAUAAAAACAAAGCUGACAUGUUAAAAGCAUGACUAAAACCACCACAAUAUGUGGCAUAUAGAUAACUUUGCUUUUGCAACUUGUAUAAGUUCGAAAAUGUUACAUUUCUCUUUGCUUUAAAAUGUUAAGUUAUUUCUGAGUAAAACCAAUACCAAUAGCAAUGUUUCAUAAUAAUCAAGUUAUGGACCAGAUCAAUGCUUAGAUAAUAGCAUUACACCUUUUCACAGGUUAUGUCCAGACCUCAAAAUUGGUUAUGCGUAAAUUCAAGUUUGUAUUUUCUUUUAAAAUAUAAAGAUUCGCUCCCAGAUUAGAAUCUGUUAUAGAAGUAUGAAGAAAUAAAACUUAAUUUCCUACCAGAUAACGAACAAAAAACAAGUAAAAGUUAACAAUAACGAAAUGAAGUUGCUUCUACUCGAAUAAGUAGUAAUAACCUAAUAACGAAUCACAAUCCCGUUCGACAAGAGCAAGCCGGCCCAGGCAGAGCAGAGGCACAUACAAAAAACAACUGACAAUUUGACUUUGAGCUUUGACAUUAAUUGAUAAAUGUGAAUGUUGCCUAUAAUGUUACUCUUUAAUAUAACUUUCGCCCACGACUUCGUCUGCGUAGUAGAAAAAAAAGUAAGUAGCCUAUUAGUGCUUUCAAAUAAUCCUCUAUAUCUUUGCCAAAUUUAGUCGAGAUCCGUUCAGCAGUUUAGGCUACAAACUACACACACAUCCAUCUAUCCAUCUGAACUUUCGCAUUUAUAGGAUUAGUAAAACAAUUUGACAGAGAUAAAAUUAACUGUCCCUAAAGACAAUAGGUUUCGCAAAGGUAGGUAAUAUAAAAACCAUGAACAUUGUACAAGCCAAGUGAAAUUGCUCCUAUGUUUUCAUCGUACUCCGGCACAAGCAUGCGUCGAUCUAUUGUAAUAAUAGUUUACUAAACAUACAGAUUUAAGUCACUGUUUUUCUUUAAAUAGUCCUAAUGAUCACAUUUGGAUAUUUGGUUAAUAUUAUUCCAACGAAUCAUUUAAACAAAGUGCCGAUUUCAGAAUAUUUCUUAGUUUGUACAUUACAACUUUUAUACUCUAUGACAGUUCUUUUCCAGCAAAUUUUUUGUUUGUUCUUUGUUUGUUCGUACAAACUUCAUUCAUGUCAUUUACAUUCGUUCGUUCGUUUUGAAUUUACGUUAAAUUAAAAUUGAACCAUCCAUUUUAAAUGGUGCAUUUUGCAACUCAUCAAUUCGAACAAAUUGAAGUGCUUAAUUUUUACUCGAUCUGCAUUCAAUUGAGUGUGUCUCGUAGUUAUUACCGAUUAAUUCGUAAUUAACGUGCUGUAUUAUACAUUGUUGGAUGUACAAGUUACAAGUUUCUUGAAAGUUUACAUUUGGGUGAAAAAAGCUAUUUUUUGAUUUCUUCAUUUAUCCAUGUGGUAUUUUUAUGAUAUUGCUGACUUAGGUAAUGGCGAAGUCGUUGUCUAGCCUGUUUUUGGAUUCUUUCCCAAAAUGUGUCUUGUCACGUGUCGAAAAAAAAUUUCUAGUCUUACAAAACCCGAUUGAAGAUAGGCUAAUCACUAAUAGUUGUCAGAUUUUGAACAAAUUAAUAAAUUAUCUAUCGUUUUGUUGUGAAAUGAUUCAGAUUUAUUUGGUCGCUGCAUUUUAUAUGAAAGUUACUUGAAAGUUUUCUGGGCAAUUGUGGUUUGAGACGUUUAAUUUGCAUAAAGUGUUUUGUAAAAGUCGGUGCAGUUGUGAUGUGCUUAGCCGGAUGGAACAAUAAUCCAUAUCCAGGUUUCCAUCCCUGCCAUUACCAAUGUUUUUAGAUUUUCGAACUUCCUAUCCGACGUUACAAAUUUACAAAACAAACAUGUCGGCAAAGAGAAUUAAAAGAUACGGGUGAAGGCAACCAACUCGCAAUGGGCCAUUGUUUACUGUAGCUAACUCUCCUAAUUCGGGUAAGCCUCCGAGCCUCCUGAUCUGGUAGUUUGGGUUGUUUUGUUAGUAAUGGUGGUCAUUGAUGCAGUUUCAUAUAGUAUCUUACGCUAAAGGUUUUACAAAACCAAUUUUUAUAUAACAUUUAAUAAGAUAUGAGCUGUUUUUGUCAUGGCUGUCUUAUGUACUUUUAUUGGUCAUUCUUAUGGUGUAAAAAACCCUCAAAAAUAUGUGUGCGGUUAACUACCCCACCAACAUGGGUUAAGUUGAACAGAGCUUGCAUUUUGAGGCAUACAAGUAAAUAUGACAAAAGGUUUAGUGGAAGACAUUUUUGUAUUCUGUAUACAAAGUAAUUUAUUUAUAUAUUUGAAAAUAAAUUAUCUGCAAUAAAGUUUUGAAAGUUAUGUACAUAGAAAACUUUGUUUUUAUUCUAUGUAUAUGCAACAAGCUAUAUAACUUAAGUGGUAUAAGACUUUAAAAUGUGCAUUUUACCCUCUGUUGAUUGUGUCGGCAAUGCAUCAAAAUAUGAAUGUCUAGGCAGAGGUUGCUCCACUAUUUUAGCAAAUUUUGGUAACCGCAUGUUUGUUACUUUAUACAAUGAAAAGAAAUGUUUAUUUAUUUAUUAGACAUAUCAACUUUUGUUAUUGUGGUUGUCACAUAGAUUUACAUUGUUUAUCUACAGGAUCUGGUCUCUUUUAGAACAUGAUAGUAGAUAUGGAAAAUGUAAAAAGAAAAAAUAUAAAAUUACUAUGUUACAGUAGUAACAUUUCCCAAUAUAUUUAAAUUUCUUUCAAUUCCAAUGGCUUUUAGCUGUUGUUUUAACUCAGAUAAGCCUGAAACUAAAAUUUUCUGAAAAUUUUGAAAAAACUUACAUUGUUUAGUUUAUUAGAUCUUAUGCAACAUAAAAAAAAAUUAUGAAAAAAAAAUUAAGUGUAAGGCUUUCAGGGAAACAGCCGUCCUGUAGGACAGUAGGAUAAUAAGAGGAAAUAAAAGACCAUUUACGACAAAACAGAAUGUAACC